This 3289-nucleotide long non-coding RNA is filed under the name Marmota monax (woodchuck). Lineage: Eukaryota; Metazoa; Chordata; Mammalia; Rodentia; Sciuridae. The record is from RNAcentral.
CUGACCUUGAACUUGUUAUCCUCCUGCCUCAGCCUCCCAAGUCACUGGGAUUAUAGAUCUGAGUCACCAACCCCAGCUUGAUUUAAAAAAUUAACAGAAAACUUGAAUAGACAUUUCUCCAGAGAAGAUAAAAAAUGGCCAACAAACAUAUGAAAAGAUGUUCAACAUCACUAACUAUUAAGGAAAUGCACAUCAAACCCACAAUGAGAUAUCACCUCACAUCCAUUAGGAUCACUGUGAUACUAUCAAAAAUCAAAAAAUAGCUCAGGGGAAGAAUGCUUGCCUAGCAUGUACAAGACUGUGAGUUUGAUCUCCAGCACUGCAAUAAAUAUCAACAACAAAAAAAUAUAAAAUGACAAGUGUUGGUGAGGCUGUAGAGAAAUUGGAUCCCUUGUGCACUGUUGUUAGGAAUGUAAAUGCCACUGUGGAAAACAGUAAUGUUUUCUCUCAAAAAAAAUUUAACAGAGGGGCUGGGGGUGUGGUUCAGAGGUGGAGCGCUUGCCUAGCAUUCAAGAGGCACUGGAUUAGAUCCUCAGCACCACAUGAAAAUAAAGAUAUUGUGUUCAUCUAUAACUAAAAAAAAAUAUUUAAAAAAAGUCAACAGAGUAUUACAGUGUAAUUCAGCCAUUCCACUUCUGGAUAUAUACCCAAAACAAUUGAAAGCAGGAUCUUCUGCAGAUAUCUGUAUGUGAUAUCCAAAAGCUGGAAGCAGCCCAAGUGUCUGGUUUUUUGGUUUUAUUUUUGGCUAAUAGGGCUUGAAACUAUUGACACUCUCCACUGAGCCACAUCCCCAGCACUAUUUUAAUUUUUUAAACUUUGAGACAAGAUCUCACUAAGUUGGUGAGACUGGACUUGAACUUGGAGAAUCCUUCUGCGUCAGCCUCCGGAGUCUUUGGGACCGUAGUUGUGCACUGCCCCACUUGGCCCAAGUGUCUAUCAGUGGAUAAAGGAAUAAACAAGAUGUGACAUAUAUGAACAAUGGAAUCUAUAUCAGCCUUCUUAAAUGAAAGGAAAUUCUGGUAUAUGCUAUAACAUGGGUGAAUAUGGAGGACACUGUGCUCAGGGAAUCAGCCAAUAACUGAAGGACAAAUGCCAUUAGAUUCCACUCUUCAAAGUACCAAGAAGUCAAUAGUCAAAUUCAUAGACAGAUUAUAGGAUGGAUAUAGGAUGGUGGUUGCUAGGAGUGGUGAUGGGGAGGGAGAAAUAGAAUGGGGAUUUCUUGUUUCAUGGGUAUAGAGUUGUAGCUUUGCAAGAGGAAAAAAGUUCAGGAGAUGGAUGGCGGUGAUGGUGCCUAGCGUGAGUGCAUGGAAUAUCACUGAACUGUUCACUGAAAAAUGGUUAAGAUGGUAACUAAUAUGUGCAUUUUACUGCCAACAAUAAAAAACAGCCCAGUGCGGCAGCACACGCUGCUUGGGAGGCUGAGGCAGGAGGAUCUCAAGUUCCGAUCCAGCCUCAGCAACUGUAGCAAGGCUCUAAGCAACUCAGUGAGACCCUGUCUCAAAAUAAAAAUAAAAUGAGCUGGGAAUGUGGCUCAGUGUUCAAGUGCCUCUGGGUUCAAUCCCUAAUACCAAAUAAAUAAAUAAAUAAAUAUUAAAAACCAAGACCUGGCAAUUAAAAACAUAAUCUUUGUUGUUAUCUUUUCUAUCGGAUAGAAAUUAUUUCUAUCUUCAUUGGGCAAGAUCUGCAAAUAAAUAUGUAACUUCAUAGAAUCUGGGUCCUUAUGAGUAAAUAGCCAAAUCACAGGGAGAUAGAUUCCCUGAGGUAAUUAAGCAACCACUGGGUAGGAUUGUGAAACAAUGCCCAGGACGAGGCUGGCAGAACAUGCUGUACUCUGUUAGCCUUAUUACCAAGAUUUGGAUUAUUAGUAUUGUUUUUUAGUAUCAUAGUCAUUUAUGUCUGUGUUUUUCCACUGACUCUCUUGAGGACGGUGACUAUGUCUUGUUCAUCUUAGCCUCCUCACCGUGUGCUCUGGCCAGUUGAACUUCAAGACUGAGCACCAUGGCCUAGUGGGCUGGGAACAGUAGACCUGCAUUGUCAUUGUUUCUGUGACCUUGAUCAGAUCUGUGAUUUCCUGGAGCUAUGCUACACUCACCCAUCAAAGGAUGAGCUUACUGGGUGCAGUACUGGGCCCUGGGGUGCUGUCUGAUCUCUGGGUUUUCUUCCAGGUCUACAGAGUUUGGAUUCUGAUUUGGUCUAAUCAUUCACACCUAAAAGGAGUUAACUUCACACAGACACCUAAACCAGAUGGAUAAUGACUAAGUAAAGAGCUUGUUUUGGGUUUGUGCAACACCCAGAGGCAUUUUUUUUUCUUGCUUUUCUUGGAAGAAGCAUCCUAGAUGUUAUCUAAGCCUGUGACCCUGGCUCCUGGGCUAGGACACUGUAGGAUGAGGACGUGUGAUUUUGUAACCUAGCUAGAGAAGAAACAGCUGUUUCCUGGUGGCAGGACUGUCUCCUCUCAGAAGCUGGGGGCCCUGGGUAAGCAGGCCCUGGAGGAGACAGAGCUGGCGUCUGAGCCUGCCCUUGAGGAAGGAGCAAAUUACCGUCUAAUUAAGAAUUCAUGAGACUCUUGUCGCUGUUUUCAAUUAAUUUCUUGACAAAUUCUGGCUGUCCCUCUUGUUUUUCUUAGGACAGGAGGAGUCCUGGCGAUCCAGUCAUGAGCUCUGGGGAGCUCUUGCUGAAAUUAAUUUGAGUGCUUUGGAAUGAGAUUUACACAGCAGAGAGGAGCCGGCUGGGGCUACUCCUCUUGGCAGGCGCUCCCAGGGCAUUGGAGAUGUUGUCACUUCUUUUCCCAUGAUGUGCAGUGUCCUCAAAGGCCUUAGGAGCUAUGUCCUGCCUUAACCCAGCCUGCCCCCAUGUCCCUUGUGCCCCUGCCAUGGAGGUCCUUCUACUUCUCUUGGCCUUGGCUCUCACAGGCUGACCAGCAAAUCCAUCCUCUGGCCCCCGCCCAGCCCAGCUUGGGCUCCAACUUGCAAGCACUGAUGGGGCCUUCAGGUAUCCGCUGCCUGCAUCAGGAGGUGAGUCCCAGACUCCUGCCUGUCAGCUCGCCUUCAUCAUGGCCACAGGUGGGACUGGAGACUUGAUGCUGGGACCCACAGGUCUCUGGUGUUUUUUUCUCCAUCCCCCAUCCUUGGGUUGGAAGAUGGUGAGGGGGAGCUGCCCAAAUGAAGCAUAUCCUUGGUUCCUUGGGGCUGCCUCACUUCCUCUCUAGAUCCUCAAUCUCCACCCACAGAGAAAACCAAGAAUCUCUUCCCGGCACCAUAUCCAUCUUUCCCUGACUGUUAAGCAUUCC